This 253-nucleotide ribosomal RNA is filed under the name uncultured bacterium. RNAcentral's name for it is "partial 16S ribosomal RNA". It matches the Rfam family "Bacterial small subunit ribosomal RNA", at positions 524 to 776 of the family's 1533-position model. The record is from RNAcentral.
GACAGAGGGUGCAAGCGUUGUUCGGAAUUAUUGGGCGUAAAGGGCGCGUAGGCGGCCUUGUAAGUCAGAUGUGAAAUCCCCGGGCCUAACCCGGGAAGUGCAUCUGAUACUGCUAGGCUUGAGUCUCAGAGAGGGUGGUGGAAUUCCCAGUGUAGAGGUGAAAUUCGUAGAUAUUGGGAGGAACACCAGUGGCGAAGGCGGCCACCUGGAUGAUGACUGACGCUGAGGCGCGAAAGCGUGGGGAGCAAACAGG